RNAcentral lists this ribosomal RNA (460 nucleotides) under uncultured bacterium. RNAcentral describes it as "partial 16S ribosomal RNA". It matches the Rfam family "Bacterial small subunit ribosomal RNA", at positions 338 to 795 of the family's 1533-position model. The record is from RNAcentral.
CCUACGGGCGGCAGCAGUGAGGAAUAUUGGUCAAUGGACGAGAGUCUGAACCAGCCAAGUAGCGUGAAGGAUGACUGCCCUAUGGGUUGUAAACUUCUUUUAUAUGGGAAUAAAAUGUUCCACGUGUGGGAUUUUGUAUGUACCAUAUGAAUAAGGAUCGGCUAACUCCGUGCCAGCAGCCGCGGUAAUACGGAGGAUACGAGCGUUAUCCGGAUUUAUUGGGUUUAAAGGGAGCGUAGGUGGAUUGUUAAGUCAGUUGUGAAAGUUUGCGGCUCAACCGUAAAAUUGCAGUUGAAACUGGCAGUCUUGAGUACAGUAGAGGUGGGCGGAAUUCGUGGUGUAGCGGUGAAAUGCUUAGAUAUCACGAAGAACUCCGAUUGCGAAGGCAGUUCACUGGACUGCAACUGACACUGAGGCUCGAAAGUGUGGGUAUCAAACAGGAUUAGAUACCCGAGUAGUC